RNAcentral lists this microRNA precursor (43 nucleotides) under Macaca fascicularis (crab-eating macaque). RNAcentral's name for it is "microRNA 219a-1". It matches the Rfam family "mir-219 microRNA precursor family", at positions 6 to 67 of the family's 79-position model. Rfam says of the family: The hairpin precursors (represented here) are predicted based on base pairing and cross-species conservation -- their extents are not known. In this case the mature sequence is excised from the 5' arm of the hairpin. Lineage: Eukaryota; Metazoa; Chordata; Mammalia; Primates; Cercopithecidae. The record is from RNAcentral.
UGAUUGUCCAAACGCAAUUCUAGAGUUGAGUCUGGACGUCCCG